GUGGCGAGUGGCGAACGGGUGAGUAAUACAUCGGAACAUGUCCUGUAGUGGGGGAUAGCCCGGCGAAAGCCGGAUUAAUACCGCAUACGAUCUACGGAUGAAAGCGGGGGACCUUCGGGCCUCGCGCUAUAGGGUUGGCCGAUGGCUGAUUAGCUAGUUGGUGGGGUAAAGGCCUACCAAGGCGACGAUCAGUAGCUGGUCUGAGAGGACGACCAGCCACACUGGGACUGAGACACGGCCCAGACUCCUACGGGAGGCAGCAGUGGGGAAUUUUGGACAAUGGGCGAAAGCCUGAUCCAGCAAUGCCGCGUGUGUGAAGAAGGCCUUCGGGUUGUAAAGCACUUUUGUCCGGAAAGAAAUCCUUGGUUCUAAUAUAGCCGGGGGAUGACGGUACCGGAAGAAUAAGCACCGGCUAACUACGUGCCAGCAGCCGCGGUAAUACGUAGGGUGCGAGCGUUAAUCGGAAUUACUGGGCGUAAAGCGUGCGCAGGCGGUUUGCUAAGACCGAUGUGAAAUCCCCGGGCUCAACCUGGGAACUGCAUUGGUGACUGGCAGGCUAGAGUAUGGCAGAGGGGGGUAGAAUUCCACGUGUAGCAGUGACAUGCGUAGAGAUGUGGAGGAAUACCGAUGGCGAAGG
RNAcentral lists this ribosomal RNA (637 nucleotides) under uncultured beta proteobacterium. Its description in RNAcentral is "bacterial SSU rRNA". It matches the Rfam family "Bacterial small subunit ribosomal RNA", at positions 88 to 721 of the family's 1533-position model. Lineage: Bacteria; Pseudomonadati; Pseudomonadota; Betaproteobacteria. The record is from RNAcentral.